UGCCCAGUUAUACUUAUACUUUCACUUUCCAAUGAGAUCAUUAUCAUAAAAAUACAAUAAAAAUUAAUGAAAAGUAUUAUUCAUGAAUAUCAACAUACAUUAAGCAAAUAUAUUUAUUUAUAAUAUCAUUAAUUUCUAUAUUAUUUAUAUGAUUUUAUAAGAUAUUAUAUUAUUAUAUUUUGAUAAAAAAUAUAUUAAAUAAAAACUAUACUCAUUAUCCAAAAUAAAGAGCUCACUAAUAAUCUUAUUAAUAUAGGCAUCAUGUAGCAUAUCAAAAACUGCAUAAACAGAGCCUCCAUUUACGUAUAUGUGUGUG
RNAcentral lists this long non-coding RNA (316 nucleotides) under Elaeis guineensis (African oil palm). Its description in RNAcentral is "long non-coding RNA (EGUI_LNC028069)". The record is from RNAcentral. Lineage: Eukaryota; Viridiplantae; Streptophyta; Magnoliopsida; Arecales; Arecaceae.